Molecule: long non-coding RNA, 3210 nt
Organism: Chrysemys picta bellii (western painted turtle)
Lineage: Eukaryota; Metazoa; Chordata; Testudines; Emydidae
Source: RefSeq, a predicted model, not a curated record
ACACUGAGUCUGUGUACAACUGUUUGGUGAUUUUCCAGCAACAUAGGAAGGUUGUAUGUGACAGUCAGAGAGCCCAGACACCCUCAGCAGAGAACAGCAGAAAGAUCAUUUUAAGACUGUCUAAGGGAAUAAAACCCCUACCUGAUGGGAAUGAAUUAUCCAUGAAGACCACGUCUAUGGACAAGCUACUGGCCUAACUGAUAAAUGAUUGACCUGUCCACACUUUAGUUAGGAGAGCUCGGAGGAAGGAUGUCAUCCAUGGGAUGGAAGGACAAUACCUUAUGAUGUGACUCUUUGACAAAUAAUGAACUAUCAGCUACGUACUCUCCUUGCAUUGUGAUAGCAACAUUUGUAUUUUUGCACUGCGGCAUGCUGCAUGCUCCUUUCCUACUAGAGCUGCAAGGGCUCUGCUUUUAAAUUAUACGGAGACAUGCUAUACUAUAACAAGUCUUUAUGGGAUUUUUACAACAGAAAGUGAUAUGGUUAUAAAAAUCAAGGCUGACAGGGGAAAUAACUUGACAGGGAUCUGUUCCAUCUCUACUGGCCAGUAGGCACUGGUACAGUGUAAACAAGAAAGGCAGGCUUUGUGUACUGUAUUUACAGGCUCCAACAGUUAUUUCUAUACCACAAAGACCAUCUGUUGUUUUGUGAACACAUUUGUUCAGACUAGCACUUGUAAUGGAAAGAUACAUGGUUAGCAAUCAUUUUGUGACACUUGCCUACUGCAGGGUUUUUUGCACCUAUCCCUAAAGCAGCUGUCUAACAGAGACAAAAAAAACUGAAAUAGAGGGACCCCUAGUCUGAUCCAGUAUGGUAGUUCCUUUAUCUCUGUAUCAUAUGAUCCCAUUAGUUAUAAUCUGAGAGACCUACAAGGUUACAGCAAAUCUGUUUACUGCUGCUUAUUAUUAUGUAUUGAUAGUUCUGUUGCUAGUAUCCAAAAGCCCCAGUCAAGAUCAGGGCUCCAUUAUGCUAGCUGCUGUACAAACACUUAGUCAGACAAUGACGCAACCAGCUGGGGAAAGAUGAAAAGAUUUUUCUUGAAUAGCCAUUCAACUUUGAAAAUUAACUUUUGAUUGGACUAUUUCUGCAAUCCUUUUGUGUUUACUUCUAUUAUAAAAUGGCAGUAGUUUUCAUGGUUUUGGUGUUUGCAAAAACAACCUGUCUUUGUAGUUUUCAAGUGUUUAACCAGGGUCAAAAAAUAGAGACACAAAGUGAUGGUACUAGUUUCAAGUUCCAGCUCAAUUUCAAGACUUGGAUGUUUUUUGCUGAAGGUAUCACUGGUUACUUUAUGGCUUCUAGUUUAACGCUAAGACAAAUUACACUUUUCACACUUUACUUAAAACCAUUGUACCAGUCUAUAUGCAGCCUGAAAACAAGGGCUGCACUAGGACAUAUUUGGAGGGCUCUCUUUAUGAACAGAAGGACUAGAAACUCUCUGCAGAAAUAUAGGACUUCUAGACAAGUGUGUCAGGAUAGCAUACCACAGUGAAGUAGAUCAAACUGACCUCUGCUUAUAAGUAAGCUCAAGAGCGAGCUACCGAAUGCUUUGUACAUUGCACAAUAAUGAAUAUUAAUCCUUAAUUACGGAAGCAUUUCAGUGGUCAACCAGAUCAAAGAUAAUUUUAUUAUAAAGUCCUAAUUUUGUACUGCUGUUUUUUUUAAUAACGAGUCUUUGAAGAAUAUUAUACAAAGCAGACUGGAAGGACCUCAUACCCACAGUCAUAAAUAAGUUUUGUGUCCAAACCUUCUGAACAUUUCACUAGAAAGCACAGUGGUAAUUCUACCAGAUGUUAAAGUUUGCUUAAAAAUACAUAGCAACAUUUUGAAAUGCCUUGAGAGGAGAUUUAAUGAGGGAAAUCAGAAAGUGAAGAUUAAACUAAAAAGAGAAAAGGGGAUGCUGAAACAUCUGCCAAAUGGUUUAUUAGUGGUGUGGGGUGAAGUGACGGAGAGAGAGUAAGCUUUGCUUUCAUAAUGUGGUUCCAAGAGGAAACACUUGAUAAGUAACUGCAGUAGGUAAAUGGGGCAAAUGUGGCAAAGUAAGAUAUUUAAGUGAUCACUCUACUGCACAUAUUAAGUAUAAAUGAUGUAUUGUAAUGUGUCAUGUAUUUUUAAUGACUGUCCUCUGGUCAGUCAUAAUAGUUUCGUAACAGAUGUAGCUUAUUUGAAGAACUCUGGAAGAAAAAGAGGAAAGAUUUGUCCUUUGUUUAGAUGAUAAGAAAAUUAGGACCAAGGUUGCUUUACUUAUUUCAGAUUAAGAAGAGAGAUGAUUAAGGGAUGCAAUAAUUUCAAAGUUGUUCCUGAGCCUAUUUCAUUGCAGCAGGGAUAAAUAGAAUAAUGGAUAGAGAUGGCAGAGACUGCAGGAUGAUAAGAAUCUGAAGAUGGUGGCUGAGGGAAAGUACUGGAUUUUAACUGUAUCCUCAGACCAUAGAUGUGCACUCUAUAGGUACAGGCACAAAAGCAGUGUCUGUUCUUAGGAGUGGUUAUGAUUAAGUUAAGCUUAACUAAAGUAGCCAUUCUACUGAUGAAAUGACCAACAUUUGGUACCUCUAUGUUUCUGAUUACAUAUUUGUUUCUUGUCUGAAAUAUCACGGCCUACUAAAAUGACACAAGAAAAAGAAAAGGUUGUAUAAUGGUUUCAAAAGGUUAAAUGCAUAAGAUAACUUUCCACUAAAAAGUCACAAUUUUUGCUCUCUUGUUGAGAAGUUUAGUCCAAAUGUUUUAAUUUUAGCACGCCUAGUAAAUAAUAAACAUAAAUGAUAAACAAAAUGAGAACCUAAGUAAUAAAAUGCUUUUCAACAUUGGAUAAUUCUUUCACAGUGAGGAAAACUUAAAGCCAUAAUUAAGCCAAAUUCAAAUAAGCCAAAUUCACCCUAUUGUCUCUUUCUACAUAGCUACUGAAAUCUUUGGCUCUUGGGCAGAAACUGCAUUUAUUGAUGUAGGAUGUAAAAGGUACUUUCAAGAAGUAGGGUGGAAAGGCUGGGCUCUGCCUGGAUUUUGUUCGGAAAAUAAAAGCUGUUCCCUGAGUUCACUGGUAGUUUUAGUUUUGCUGGGAAGGCAGGAUCAGGCUGAAAAUGAAGUGGCAUCAAAUACACAGUGGCAAAUCUCUCUCUAAUUGGGAAAAUAUUAAGUUCUUAGAAGAAGUAAGAUGAUCCUACCACAAAGGAAUCUUUUUUCAGGGUAGCAGCCGUGUUAAUCUGUAUCCUCAAAAAA